GAGUAGCCCUAGAGGCCUAACGCUUGAGGUCACCUUCAUGGUUUUUCCAGUGACCUUGGCCAUUAAUGAGCUCCCACCGCUUCCCCAGCUGCAGCUGUAUUAUAGCGCCAGAGUCUUCCAAGCCUGCAGGUUGUGCCAAGCCUGGAGGGAUUUGCAAAAGAAACAUUUGCCUACACCAAGAUCAUGAAGAUGUUUUCUUCUAGAGGAUUUCUAGUUUUAGCUCUUUAUGUUUAAAUUGAGGGAAACUAAAUGUAUGGCCUUAAGGAGCUGUUCCAGCCUGAGACUAUACACCAGCAGAAAGAAACUCACAGCACUGAAAAUAUUGUUCUCCGCCCUCCCUCAUCCCUCUUCCUUCUGAAUGGGAAAAAAGAGUAAGAAGCUUUUCCCUCCAGCUGAAAGCAAAGGAGUACUCUAGCCCUCUGUGAUAGCUGAUGGCAGCAUCUUUGGUGGCUCUCCCAGAGAGGCUGCUCUCUUUGCUGGAAUUUGCCUUGUUCUCUCCUCACUGCUGAAGCACUGUCACUGCGUCCUAAAAAAACACCACAGUAUCCGUAA
Homo sapiens (human) is the source of this 552-nucleotide long non-coding RNA. RefSeq lists it as uncharacterized. The transcript has 3 exons. Lineage: Eukaryota; Metazoa; Chordata; Mammalia; Primates; Hominidae. The record is from RefSeq and is a predicted model, not a curated record.